GAUUAACGCUGGCGGCAUGCCUUAUGCAUGCAAGUCGAACGGCAGCACGGACUUCGGUCUGGUGGCGAGUGGCGAACGGGUGAGUAAUAUAUCGGAACGUGCCCAGUCGUGGGGGAUAACGUAGUGAAAAUUACGCUAAUACCGCAUACGAUCUACGGAUGAAAGCGGGGGAUCGCAAGACCUCGCGCGAUUGGAGCGGCCGAUAUCAGAUUAGGUAGUUGGUGAGGUAAAGGCUCACCAAGCCAACGAUCUGUAGCUGGUCUGAGAGGACGACCAGCCACACUGGGACUGAGACACGGCCCAGACUCCUACGGGAGGCAGCAGUGGGGAAUUUUGGACAAUGGACGCAAGUCUGAUCCGGCCAUUCCGCGUGCAGGACGAAGGCCUUCGGGUUGUAAACUGCUUUUGUACAGAACGAAAAGGUUUCUAUUAAUACUAGGGGCUCAUGACGGUACUGUAAGAAUAAGCACCGGCUAACUACGUGCCAGCCGCCGCCGUAA
RNAcentral lists this ribosomal RNA (500 nucleotides) under uncultured bacterium. RNAcentral's name for it is "partial 16S ribosomal RNA". It matches the Rfam family "Bacterial small subunit ribosomal RNA", at positions 28 to 523 of the family's 1533-position model. The record is from RNAcentral.